GCUGGCACAUGAUGACUUAAGUUUUUGCCGUUUACCCAGCUGAGGGUUUCUUUGAAGAAAUAAUCUUGACUGAGAUGCCAGC
This is a small nucleolar RNA of Meriones unguiculatus (Mongolian gerbil), 82 nucleotides long. The record is from Ensembl. NCBI's taxonomy places the organism in Eukaryota, Metazoa, Chordata, Mammalia, Rodentia, Muridae.